This is a non-coding RNA of Callorhinus ursinus (northern fur seal), 686 nucleotides long. NCBI's taxonomy places the organism in Eukaryota, Metazoa, Chordata, Mammalia, Carnivora, Otariidae. The record is from RefSeq and is a predicted model, not a curated record.
UCUCUGCUACAGGUCAGCUUGAUUUACAAAAGAAAGAGCCCGGGGGGAUGCGAACCCUGAAGUGAAUAACCAGCCAGGAAGUUUGGAGUCCUAAUGAUUAAGAUAAACAUAUGUUUAGAAUUCACUCCUGAGUUCUUUCCAAACCAAUGUCUUUCAUACCUGUUAUUAUUCAAUUAACAAAUGAUUCCAUUCACCCAUAAACAAUUGGCAAUCAAAGAAAUCUGUAACACGGGAUGCAUCUUGGCCACACUUACCUCUUUUUGUAUAAAUAAACACUGAUUUCAACUUCCUUUUUUUUUUCCCUUUAUCGGAUGUUCAUUACAUAAAUCCAUGUACGUUGAAGAGUCAUCAGUGCAGAAUCUCCACUUACUCAGCACCCUCACAGUCCUAACAGUAACAGCUUCAAAGAGGACAAACAAAAUCCCAAUCCACGAUCAAGGGCCUUUCCACAGCCCCCAUAAUUCGGCAAUUAUCAGCCCAGACCUUUCUUCCAGUCUUCCCAUUGACGACACAGCAACAUCCUGGUCCUUCUACCCUUUUAAAUGCUUCUUCUUUGACUUGUUCACUGAUUUCUCCUUCCUACCUCCCCCACGCGGGCAUUUAUCAACAUUUGCUUCUGCUUUCUCUCCUCUCUCUCUACACCCUUUCCUUCAGUAAUGUCAACCAAGAAUGUUGGCAGUGAGGGC